GCGCGUAGAUGGUUCCCACAAUGCUUUGCGGCAGGCGGACGUGGUCCUGCGGCCGAUGCCGCGGCUCCGGUGAGGCAGGGAGUUCGAAACGGUCGGCUACGCCUCGCAGAGCAGUUGCCUAGCAACAGACCCAGGCCCGCCCGACCAGCCGGCCGUGCGGGGCGCGCAGAGGCGGCUCAGCAGUCUCGGAUGAUGACCCAGCACAUGUUGUUUGUUUUAAGAACACUUUCACUGCAAAUUUGAUAAAAAGCAAAGAAGAUACUGAUGUGAAAUUUCUAAAGAGAGCUACAGCACUCAACCCAAGGUUAAAGAAUCUGAAGUGCCUUCCAAAAUCUGAGAGGGACGAGGUGUGGAGCAUGCUUUCAGAAGUCGAAAAAGAGCAACACUCUGAUGCAGAAACCACAGAACCUGAAAAAAGAAAAUCAACCUUCUGCUGGUGGCAUCUGACUUAGAUAAUGAAAUUGAACAUGCGUCGAUCUGCACUGCUUUGGAUUGUUAUGGAGCAAAACCCGUGAUCUUCAUGUCUCCUGGCAUGGUAGUUGAAGCAUGAAGGGACAUAUGAAUCAUAGUGCAUCUGGCAUAUAAAUAUCUUGUGAUGCCAGCAACAGUGCCAUGAGAACGUCUGUUCUCACUUUCAGGUGACACUGUAAACAAGAAGCGGGCAGCAUGUUUCCUAUGUUACUUUGGUUAAGUUACGUCAGUCUCCAUUCAGCAAGGUUUUCAUUAAAUCGGUUGGCAAUGUCUAUGAUCUUAUCUGCCUCAGUGGUCCGUGUUAGAGAUGGGCUCCCGCUAUCUGCCUCUACAGAUUAUGAGCAAAGCAUGGGAAUGCAGCAAUGUAGAAAAUAUUUUAAAACGCUCUCAAAGAAGCUUGCUCAGCUUCCUGAUAGAUGUAUGCUGAAAGCUGGCCAGUAUAAUAUAAGUUUUAUUAGCUCUCUGGGAGUGAGCUACAUGAUGCUGUGCACUGAAAAUUACCCCAGUGUUCUGGCUUUCUGCUUCCUGGAUGAGCUUCAGAAAGAGUUCAUCACCACAUACAAUAUGAUGAGGACAAAUACUGCCAUCCGGCCAUACUGUUUCAUAGAGUUUGAUAAUUUUAUUCAAAGGACCAAGCAGAGAUAUAAUAACCCACGGUCUCUGUCGACAAAGAUAAAUCUUGCUGACAUGCAGACAGAAAUCAAGCUGAGACCACCUUAUCAAAUUUCCAUGUCUGAACUUGGUUCAACUAAUGGAUUUGCACACUUAUCUGCUGCAGAGUUUAAGGGUACUGGUAAGAUAUCUACUGCUCCUCAUCAACGACUGGAAGCUGUUACUUUGCCAGGGAUUGUUUCAUUUAUACUGAGCCUGUUAUGUGGGGCUUUGAAUUUAAUUAGAGGGUUUCAUGCCAUAGAAAGUCUUCUGCAGAACGAGGGUGAAGAUUUCAGUUAUGUCAUUGCGUUUUUCCUUGGAACAGCAGCCUGCUUGUAUCAGCACAGCUGCAUGCUGUCUUUGUUCUGUGGGUCCUUGAUGAGCCAUGGCAUCCUCUGCCCUGCUGCUUUAAAUAGCAGCCAUGCAGAAGAUUCAAGGGAGCAUCAAAGAUCAGAAGGCAUUGGUCAACAUGCAGCUGAGUGUUACUUAUUUUUAUAUUGCACAAGCUGGCGGAAUGUCAAAUCUUUCCUGACUUUUGGUUUAAUUUGCCUAUGUAACAUGUAUCUGUAUGAACUGCGCAAUCUCUGGCAGCUCUUCUUCCAUGUGACAGUGGGAGCGUUUUCAGCAUUACAAAUACGACUAAGACAACCACAAGGGAAGUCCCCUGAUUACAAUGUCUGACCCAAGUCCUGGGAUGUCCCAAGGCAGUCUUGGUCCACCCAUGGUUCCCUCUCAGGAAUGAAAAGCUUUUCUCCAAAAGAAGAAGUUGGUGGUUGUUUUUUUUUGUUUGUUUUUUUGUUUUUAAAGAUCAACGUAAGAUGCCUGUGGACGUUUGUGACUUGAGAAUUUAGACUUAUCCUCAUUGAAGACUGAAGACACAAAGAAUACAGGAUUAGUAGAGGAAAAUGGGUCCUUUUCCAUGCAGAGAAUUGUCCCUUGAGGACAAAUAAAAGUUUGGAGAACUUGACUGAUAGCAGGAAAAAGCCUCCUUCAAAAUGAUCGCGGAAGAAAGCCCCAGCAGUACUCUGAUCCUGCAAUUAGAUCCAUAAGGGCACAGGAAUCUGCUUCUAGAAUCCCCAGUAAUUUCAAUAGGGGUCUGCUUGUGUGGAUCCAUCUGCAUAAUUGGGACAAAAAAAUCUGUAAACUUCGCCAUCUCUAAGUGAUUUUACAGGGGUUUUACAUAUGAAAUUGUAUUCAUCACGUACGCAGCUCCAUUGACCCAAUUGUUAAGUGUAAGAGAGAUUGGAUAAUAUAUUGAGAGGAUAUAAUUAUUCAUGAUGGGACAAAAUUAAGACAAGGAAAAUGUAGGCUCAAGAUCCUGAAAAACUUCCUGACAAUGAGAUGGAUUAGGCUAGAGAAUAACCUUCCAGGAGAAGUGGUGGAAGCUGUUUCUUGGCAUACAAACAUUAGGCUAGACAAAAAACACUGAUAUGUAGACAAAAGGGAAGAGUCAUGCAUGGGCAGGAAGAUUAUCUUGGAAUUUGGGGUCUAAUUGGACUUUUUUUCUGUGAAUUAAUGUUCAGAAAGCACUUUCAAGAUGAAGUCAUCACAACCAAGCUAUAAGUUGUUCACAUUACAAAAAAACUCACUCUUGUCUAAUGAGUUAGCUAGAAAAAAGUGACAUGGGUUUUUUGGUUUCCUUCAGCUGCUUUUGGUCACUUUAGCUGAGAGAAUUCCUAGUAUCAGGUAAGUAUUGGAUACAGCAUGCCCUCUCCUUAGCAAAUUCUACUAUCUCUGAUUUUUAUGAUGCUAUGUUUGGUUUUGGUUGUUUAAAGAAAAGUGGUGUUAACAUAGUGGCUUGCCUGAAGUGUAAAAUAGUUUGUUUCCAGCAGAUGGCAAUAUUUGUAUACCUCUGAGAUUAAAAAAGGGAAAUUCAGAUUCUGGGGAAAUGUAGCAAGUACAGUACUGAUUGUAGAUUUCUAGUCUAACACAUUUCCCCCUCCCCCCAGGGCAAGAUUCAAGAUAUCUUUACUCUGGCAGGAGGAAUUCUAUAACCAAAGGAAAUAGAGGUUAUUUGAAUUUAAUCAUAAUGGUUUUUAUUAAUUUUUUUAAAUUGUCCUUGUUUUCACUUGUAAAGAGUAAACUCAGUUAAAAAAAAAUAUCACUCUCCAUGAUAGGUUAAUCAAUCUAAAUCCAUGCUCAGUACCAGGGCCUGACCAUUUAGUGCUUGAAAAAUUAUACCUCUCAAUCAGCUUUUUUAAUAUUUUGAGAUUAUUGUAUGAACUCCAAGGUUGCUGUACCUAAGUCCUAGAGGCUGAAAUCAGCAGGUUCCUCCAUAGCAUGCACAGGGAGAGAGCGGACAGGGCGACACUAGAGCCUUUGCAGCAGAGUAGCUGUGCCGCUGUAGGUGCUCUCAACUGCUGGGGGAGAGCUCUCCGGUCAGCUGAACGACUGCCACGGGGGCUGGAGCCGCUCUCCUGGUGCCACAGCGCUGUCCACACGGGCUCAGGGGGUGAGUUACACCAACACCAGUGGUGGUUCAGAUGUUGCCUCAGGUUCAAGGCCUUGCUCCAAUAAAUACUUAAAGUGAAAAAGCUCCUUGGCUGUGGGGCAGCAUCAGCACGUGUGUUGCUCGGCCCAUGCCUACGAGCAGCCAUACAGACGCGGACAGUGUUAGGACAACGGUGGUGCCUAAAUGUUGGAUAUAAACACCUACAUGCUUAAAUCUCUUUGCAAAUCUGGCUAUUAGGUGUUCUUCUGAAGAAAACUAGUUCCCCUUCCAGUUGUCCUGGGGAGUUAGCGUGGUAACAGAAUGUGGCAUUCCAACCUUGCUCUCAGUGCUAGGAGGUAUAGCUUGACCCCUUAAACAGAAGUGCCUCAUCCUUCUAAUGCCUAGGCAUGUUAACAAGUCUGUUCCUUAAAAUUGUGUUGUACGUCACACAAGCUAACUUUGAAAGUAGAAGCAAACAAAUCAUGUGCAGCAAAACUCUAGCAUUGUAGGUAGGGUAGCUAUUUCAAAGUAAGAUGAUUUACUAGCAUCUAUUUAAAUAUGCCAGCUAUAACCAGGUUUUCUGAUAUUGGCUCCAAUUUACCUUAGGCAGUUCCUCAAUACACAGUACACACAUAGUGGGGCGUUCAUAGUACAAAUAAGAGGAUCUGUGCUUAAAUAGUCUCACAGUAGAUAACCUGGAUUGGGCAAUGGGUCACAAAACUCCAUUCAACUAGAGUUCUAGGUUUUCUAUACAGAACACAUCAGUUACAUU
This is an RNA transcript of Caretta caretta (loggerhead turtle), 4325 nucleotides long. It is a transcript of the gene named SEC22 homolog A, vesicle trafficking protein, with no coding region annotated. The record is from RefSeq and is a predicted model, not a curated record. Lineage: Eukaryota; Metazoa; Chordata; Testudines; Cheloniidae.